GCCCUACGGGGGAAAAAUUUAUUGCUAUUAGAUGAGCCUAUAUUAGAUUAGUUAGUUGGUGAGGUAAAGGCUUACCAAGACAAUGAUCUAUAGCUGAUCUGAGAGGAUGAUCAGCCACACUGGAACUGAGAUACGGUCCAGACUCCUACGGGAGGCAGCAGUGGGGAAUAUUGGACAAUGGGCGAAAGCCUGAUCCAGCCAUGCCGCAUGAGUGAAGAAGGCCUUCGGGUUGUAAAGCUCUUUUAGUGAGGAAGAUAAUGACGGUACUCACAGAAGAAGUCCUGGCUAACUCCGUGCCAGCAGCCGCGGUAAUACGGAGAGGGCUAGCGUUAUUCGGAAUCAUUGGGCGUAAAGGGCGCGUAGGCGGGUUAGUAAGUUAAAAGUGAAAUCCCAAGGCUCAACCUUGGAACUGCUUUUAAAACUGCUAGUCUAGAGAUUGAAAGAGGAUAGAGGAAUUCCUAGUGUAGAGAUGAAAUUCGUAAAUAUUAGGAGGAACACCAGUGGCGAAGGCGUCUAUCUGGUUCAAAUCUGACGCUGAGGCGCGAAGGCGUGGGGAGCAAACAGGAUUAGAUACCCUGGUAGUCCACGCUGUAAACGAUGAAUGUUAAAUAUGGGAAGUUUACUUUCUGUAUUAUAGCUAACGCGUUAAACAUUCCGCCUGGGGACUACGGUCGCAAGAUUAAAACUCAAAGGAAUUGACGGGGACCCGCACAAGCGGUGGAGCAUGUGGUUUAAUUCGAUGCAACGCGAAAAA
This 754-nucleotide ribosomal RNA is filed under the name uncultured Wolbachia sp. Its description in RNAcentral is "bacterial SSU rRNA". It matches the Rfam family "Bacterial small subunit ribosomal RNA", at positions 191 to 968 of the family's 1533-position model. Lineage: Bacteria; Pseudomonadati; Pseudomonadota; Alphaproteobacteria; Rickettsiales; Anaplasmataceae. The record is from RNAcentral.